GGGAACCCACUGUCCGUAAUGGGGCAGUAUCCAUGCCUGAAUCCAUAGGGCAUGGAGGGCACACCCGGGGAACUGAAACAUCUUAGUACCCGGAGGAGAAGAAAGCAAACGCGAUUCCCUGAGUAGCGGCGAGCGAAACGGGAACAGCCCAAACCAAGAGGCGUGCCUCUUGGGGUUGUAGGACCGCUCAUUGUGGGAGUGAGAAAGGAACGGGGUAGACGAACCGGUCUGGAACGGCCGGCCAGAGAAGGUGACAGCCCUGUAGUCGAAACUUCGUUCCCUCCCGAGCGGAUCCUGAGUACGGCGGGACACGGGAAAUCCCGUCGGAAGCAGGGAGGACCAUCUCCCAAGGCUAAAUACUCCCUAGUGACCGAUAGUGCACCAGUACCGUGAGGGAAAGGUGAAAAGCACCCCGGAAGGGGAGUGAAAGAGAACCUGAAACCGUGUGCCUACAAGUAGUCAGAGCGCGUUCAUGCGUGAUGGCGUGCCUUUUGUAGAAUGAACCGGCGAGUGACGAUGGCGUGCGAGGUUAAGCCGAAGAGGCGGAGCCGCAGCGAAAGCGAGUCUGAACAGGGCGAAAAGUACGUCGUCGUCGACCCGAAACCAGGUGAUCUACCCAUGUCCAGGGUGAAGGCCGGGUAACACCGGCUGGAGGCCCGAACCCACGCACGUUGAAAAGUGCGGGGAUGAGGUGUGGGUAGGGGUGAAAUGCCAAUCGAACUUGGAGAUAGCUGGUUCUCCCCGAAAUAGCUUUAGGGCUAGCCUCGGGAUGGAGAGUGUUGGAGGUAGAGCACUGAUUGGGCUAGGGGCCCUCAUCGGGUUACCGAACCCAGUCAAACUCCGAAUGCCAACGACUUAUGCCCGGGAGUCAGACUGCGAGUGAUAAGAUCCGUGGUCGAGAGGGAAACAGCCCAGAUCGCCAGCUAAGGCCCCAAAGUGCACGUUCAGUGGAAAAGGAUGUGGAGUUGCAAAGACAACCAGGAUGUUGGCUUAGAAGCAGCCACCAUUUAAAGAGUGCGUAAUAGCUCACUGGUCGAGUGACUCUGCGCCGAAAAUGUACCGGGGCUAAACGUGCCGCCGAAGCUGCGGGAUGACCGUUGGUCAUCGGUAGGGGAGCGUUCUAAGGGCGUUGAAGCCAGACCGGAAGGACUGGUGGAGCGCUUAGAAGUGAGAAUGCCGGUAUGAGUAGCGAAAACAGAGGUGAGAAUCCUCUGCGCCGAAAGCCUAAGGGUUCCUGAGGAAGGUUCGUCCGCUCAGGGUUAGUCGGGACCUAAGCCGAGGCCGAAAGGCGUAGGUGAUGGACAACAGGUUGAGAUUCCUGUACCACCUCCUUCCCGUUUGAGCGAUGGGGGGACGCAGGAG
This 1362-nucleotide ribosomal RNA is filed under the name Campylobacter coli. RNAcentral's name for it is "partial 23S ribosomal RNA". It matches the Rfam family "Bacterial large subunit ribosomal RNA", at positions 122 to 1480 of the family's 2925-position model. Lineage: Bacteria; Pseudomonadati; Campylobacterota; Epsilonproteobacteria; Campylobacterales; Campylobacteraceae. The record is from RNAcentral.